This is a long non-coding RNA of Hippopotamus amphibius kiboko, 769 nucleotides long. RefSeq lists it as uncharacterized. The transcript is spliced from 3 exons. Lineage: Eukaryota; Metazoa; Chordata; Mammalia; Artiodactyla; Hippopotamidae. The record is from RefSeq and is a predicted model, not a curated record.
UCGGCGGAACGGACGCCGUUCCUUCCCUCCCUAAGGACACGUGCUCACGGCCCCUCGGCAGGAAAUGGGCACCUGCAGCCUCCCGGGUCCCCCCGCCCAGCUCGCAGCGGGCACCAUUCGGUGCCGAGAGUCGCGGGCGCGGGAGUUGCCCGCUGCAUGGCCCCGCGCACGUCCGGCAUCUCGCUGUCUCCACCGGCCUCAACCCGCGAAAGAGACAAGGGCCUGUCUCCCGGAGCCCACCAGGCUCCACUGUGCCGAGAUGGGGAUGAGGACUUGGCGACGGGGUGGGGAGGGACAAACAAACGGACGGGCACAUGGAUGAUCACAGACAGGCUGCCGAGGAUUCCCAGUCUGUCGGGGUGGAUCCCGUGCGUGCGGACGACUCCGCCGCGGCUGAGACUCCAGACCUCGGAAAUUUAGUCCGAUAUGGAUCAAACCCUCUUCUGACCCUGUCGAGACGAGGACUAACCCCGGACGAGGGGGUCCCCUUCCGACGCAGAUGGGACAAAGAAAGUAGCGAUGAGCAGGAGGGAGGACAGAAGGAAGCUGCCCUGAUGCCCUGCCACCCUGCCCAGCUCUGUUCCUCUGUCCAGCCUGGGGGGUUCUGAAGCCCUGCUGGGAAGCCGGUAAUCAAGGAAAGACGAGGAAACUGAAGCUCGGAGAGACGGGACUUACCCAAGGUCACACCUGCAGUGAGUGACAGGGCCGAAAUGUGAAUUCAGGUGUGGGAGCCGCCGGCCUGGCUACACCUUCCGGCCCUGCCACAGGU